CCUAUGGGUGGCAGCAGUAGGGAAUCUUUCACAAUGGGCGAAAUCCUGAUGGAGCAACGCCGCGUGCAGGAUGAAGGCCUUCGGGUUGUAAACUGCUUUUAUAAGCGAGAAAUAUGAUGGUAACUUAUGAAUAAGGAUCGGCUAACUACGUGCCAGCAGCCGCGGUCAUACGUAGGAUCCGAGCAUUAUCCGGAGUGACUGGGUGUAAAGAGUUGCGUAGGUGGCAUAAUAAGUAGCUAGUGAAAUCUGGUGGCUCAACCAUUCAGACUAUUAGCUAAACUGUUAAGCUCGAGACCGUUAGGGGUAACUGGAAUUUCUAGUGUAGGAGUGAAAUCCGUAGAUAUUAGAAGGAACACCAAUAGCGUAGGCAGGUUGCUGGGACGGUUCUGACACUAAGGCACGAAAGCGUAGGGAGCAAACGGGAUUAGAUACCCGGGUAGUC
This 442-nucleotide ribosomal RNA is filed under the name uncultured bacterium. Its description in RNAcentral is "partial 16S ribosomal RNA". It matches the Rfam family "Bacterial small subunit ribosomal RNA", at positions 338 to 795 of the family's 1533-position model. The record is from RNAcentral.